CAGUAGCCGCGGGAACACCGAGGAUGCAAGCGUUAUCCGGAAUGAUUGGGCGUAAAGCGAGCGCAGGCGGUUAGAUAAGUCUGAAGUUAAAGGCUGUGGCUUAACCAUAGUACGCUUUGGAAACUGUUUAACUUGAGUGCAAGAGGGGAGAGUGGAAUUCCAUGUGUAGCGGUGAGGUGCGUAGAUAUAUGGAGGAACACCGGUGGCGAAAGCGGCUCUCUGGCUUGUAACUGACGCUGAGGCUCGAAAGCGUGGGGAGCAAACAGGAUUAGAUACCCCAGUAGUCCCUGUCUUAUACACA
This 301-nucleotide ribosomal RNA is filed under the name uncultured bacterium. RNAcentral describes it as "partial 16S ribosomal RNA". It matches the Rfam family "Bacterial small subunit ribosomal RNA", at positions 509 to 810 of the family's 1533-position model. The record is from RNAcentral.